Molecule: small nucleolar RNA, 103 nt
Organism: Pongo abelii (Sumatran orangutan)
Lineage: Eukaryota; Metazoa; Chordata; Mammalia; Primates; Hominidae
Source: Ensembl
AUCCUUUCAUAGUUCAUAUGAGUGCUGAUUGGGGUUUCAUGCUCUGGUGUGAGAUGUGCUUCCCUCAAGCCUUGUUAAGACAUGAGCAUGUUACCAUCUGAUA